RNAcentral lists this transfer RNA (77 nucleotides) under Planctomycetota bacterium. RNAcentral's name for it is "Planctomycetes bacterium tRNA-Leu". It matches the Rfam family "tRNA". Rfam says of the family: Transfer RNA (tRNA) molecules are approximately 80 nucleotides in length. Their secondary structure includes four short double-helical elements and three loops (D, anti-codon, and T loops). The record is from RNAcentral. Lineage: Bacteria; Pseudomonadati; Planctomycetota.
GCCGGUGUGGCCCAAUUGGUAGAGGCGUCGAGUUUAAGCCUCGAGAGCUGGGGGUUCGAAUCCCUCCACCGGUACGA